AUUGAACGCUGGCGGCAGGCCUAACACGUGCAAGUCGAGCGGAUGAAGGGAGCUUGCUCCUGGAUUCAGCGGCGGACGGGUGAGUAAUGCCUAGGAAUCUGCCUGGUAGUGGGGGAUAACGUCCGGAAACGGGCGCUAAUACCGCAUACGUCCUGAGGGAGAAAGUGGGGGAUCUUCGGACCUCACGCUAUCAGAUGAGCCUAGGUCGGAUUAGCUAGUUGGUGGGGUAAAGGCCUACCAAGGCGACGAUCCGUAACUGGUCUGAGAGGAUGAUCAGUCACACUGGAACUGAGACACGGUCCAGACUCCUACGGGAGGCAGCAGUGGGGAAUAUUGGACAAAGGGCGAAAGCCUGAUCCAGCCAUGCCGCGUGUGUGAAGAAGGUCUUCGGAUUGUAAAGCACUUUAAGUUGGGAGGAAGGGCAGUAAGUUAAUACCUUGCUGUUUUGACGUUACCAACAGAAUAAGCACCGGCUAACUUCGUG
Molecule: ribosomal RNA, 484 nt
Filed under: uncultured bacterium
Lineage: Bacteria
Description: partial 16S ribosomal RNA
Rfam family: Bacterial small subunit ribosomal RNA
Source: RNAcentral